RNAcentral lists this ribosomal RNA (253 nucleotides) under uncultured bacterium. RNAcentral describes it as "partial 16S ribosomal RNA". It matches the Rfam family "Bacterial small subunit ribosomal RNA", at positions 524 to 776 of the family's 1533-position model. The record is from RNAcentral.
UACGAAGGGGGCUAGCGUUGCUCGGAAUCACUGGGCGUAAAGGGCGCGUAGGCGGCCAUUCAAGUCGGAGGUGAAAGCCCAGGGCUCAACCCUGGAAUUGCCUUCGAUACUGUUUGGCUAGAGGCCGGAAGAGGUAAGUGGAACUGCGAGUGUAGAGGUGAAAUUCGUAGAUAUUCGCAAGAACACCAGUGGCGAAGGCGGCUUACUGGUCCGGUUCUGACGCUGAGGCGCGAAAGCGUGGGGAGCAAACAGG